RNAcentral lists this long non-coding RNA (266 nucleotides) under Ananas comosus (pineapple). Its description in RNAcentral is "long non-coding RNA (ACOM_LNC044909)". Lineage: Eukaryota; Viridiplantae; Streptophyta; Magnoliopsida; Poales; Bromeliaceae. The record is from RNAcentral.
CUGUUAGGGAUUUUGUAUUGGCAAGUUUCAUGAUUUGAGUCAGAGUCUUGAAGGGUUCGGUUCGUGUUGUCAACGGUUGAAGAAUCUGAGAUUCCGAGAAGAACUCAAAAACAUCUCACAGGUUGAAUCACGAUGCCCAGGUAUGAUUUAAAUAUUUUUUAUGGUGAUUCAUAUCGAUUUAUGACAUUAGAAUUAUAUAAGUAAUAAUUAAUGGAUUAUAAGUGGUUUUUGAAACUUCUGAAUUAUUUUAAUAAUAUUUUAUUUUG